UACGUAGGGGGCUAGCGUUGUCCGGAUUUAUUGGGCGUAAAGAGCGUGUAGGCGGCCAGGUAGGUCCGCUGUGAAAGUCCGAGGCUCAACCUCGGAAUGUCGGCGGAAACCCUCUGGCUAGAGUCCGGAAGAGGAGAGUGGAAUUCCCGGUGUAGCGGUGAAAUGCGCAGAUAUCGGGAAGAACACCCGUGGCGAAGGCGGCUCUCUGGAACGGUACUGACGCUGAGACGCGAAAGCGUGGGGAGCGAACAGGAUUAGAUACCCUGGUAGUCCACGCCGUAAACGAUGGGUGCUAGGUGUGGGGAGUGUCAACUCUCUCCGUGCCGAAGCUAACGCAUUAAGCACCCCGCCUGGGGAGUACGGCCGCAAGGCUAAA
This 376-nucleotide ribosomal RNA is filed under the name uncultured bacterium. RNAcentral describes it as "bacterial SSU rRNA". It matches the Rfam family "Bacterial small subunit ribosomal RNA", at positions 524 to 898 of the family's 1533-position model. The record is from RNAcentral.